This is a long non-coding RNA of Brachypodium distachyon (stiff brome), 886 nucleotides long. RefSeq lists it as uncharacterized. The transcript has 2 exons. The record is from RefSeq and is a predicted model, not a curated record. Lineage: Eukaryota; Viridiplantae; Streptophyta; Magnoliopsida; Poales; Poaceae.
AGAAGCCAGGGACGGAGAGGAGGCGCUGGUAGAUCCGACGAACAGGCGAAGACUGCUAGCGCUCGGCCAUCUGGUGACAACACCACGUACGGCCGGACGCCAGCGAGAAGCUGAGACGUAAAGGUUCAUCAAGUUUCAUCAACACCAAUUCCAUGGCUUCAGCUAACGACUACAGUACAAGAGGAUCGACGUGUUAUGGCACCCGCCCGACGCGGGGCGCCGUCUUCAUUGACAACCCGCCGACGUCCACCCGAGUGCCACCAUGCGCGACGGUGCGGACGUGGGCGACGUCUACACAAUGGCCGCUCCACGCGGAGCAUUACCUUGAUGAACAGGUCGAGCCGACGUACAGGUUGCCGCAGCACGAGAGGCGGUCACUCGAACGCUAUCGUCAUCAUCAGUAGGUUGUUCGUGCUGCAGGUCUUCUCCAAUUAAUCACUCCCGCGGGAUGGAUUCCCCGCGUCCCCGACGAAGCUGCCGAAUCGUCGGCAUGUAGCGGCAUCAUGCGUUUACACCAACUCCACUUUUAGGUCGUCGAGACCGACGAGGCUCGGCAACAGGGUGGGCGUGGCCACGGCUAAGGCCACGCUCAACGGCGCGUGUACUGUCUUGUACACGGGUUCUGCCGGCACCCACACCAUCACCACCCAUACAUGCAUAGGUGACGCGAAGCAAAGACAUGAAGACGACCACAACAGCUUAAUCGGAGGUUUCUUGCGGGUUUAACCCCGCGGGAGUAAUUAAGCGGGAGCCUUCCGAGGCCCCGUGAACCAGGAGAUGACCACAAUCGCCUUGUCAAUCAAGCCGUGCAAGCAGGCCACGGAGCGCACGAGGAAUUGUAUUUUGUAAUCUCAAACAGAUUAUUAAAAUAUACGAUUCCUCCCCU